CCUACGGGGGGCUGCAGUGGGGAAUAUUGCACAAUGGGGGAAACCCUGAUGCAGCGACGCCGCGUGAGUGAAGAAGUUUUUCUGUAUGUAAAGCUCUAUCAGCAGGGAAGAAGAAAGCCGUUACCUUACUACGACGCCCCGGCCAAAUACGUGCCAGCAGCCCCGGUAAUACGUAGGGGGCAAGCGUUAUCCGGAUUUACUGGGUGUAAAGGGAGCGUAGACGGCUGUGCAAGUCUGAAGUGAAAGCCCAGGGCUCAAACCUGGGACUGCUUUGGAAACUGGGGAGCUAGAGUGCGGGAGAGGUAAGUGGAAUGCGUAGUGUAGCGGUGAAAUGCGUAGAUAUUAGGCGGAACACCAGUGGCGAAGGCGGCUUACUGGACAGUAACUGACGUUGAGGCACGAAAGCGUGGGGAGCAAACAGGAUUAGAUACCCCGGUAGUC
Molecule: ribosomal RNA, 441 nt
Filed under: uncultured bacterium
Lineage: Bacteria
Description: partial 16S ribosomal RNA
Rfam family: Bacterial small subunit ribosomal RNA
Source: RNAcentral